UUAACUAAAGCCAAAAAGAGGCAUUUCAUUGUUAAUGAAAUAAUUGAGAAAUUUAACUCUAGUUAAA
RNAcentral lists this transfer RNA (67 nucleotides) under Quercophylus gonoporospinus. RNAcentral describes it as "tRNA-Asn". The record is from RNAcentral. Lineage: Eukaryota; Metazoa; Arthropoda; Insecta; Hemiptera; Miridae.